GCAGUGGUAGCUUGGUGGUUAAGACGUUGGGCUACUGAUCAGAAGGUUGUGAGUUCAAACCGCCGCACUGCC
Ameiurus melas (black bullhead) is the source of this 72-nucleotide non-coding RNA. Lineage: Eukaryota; Metazoa; Chordata; Actinopteri; Siluriformes; Ictaluridae. The record is from the annotation of a GenBank genome assembly.